Gorilla gorilla gorilla (western lowland gorilla) is the source of this 316-nucleotide long non-coding RNA. RefSeq lists it as uncharacterized. The transcript is spliced from 3 exons. NCBI's taxonomy places the organism in Eukaryota, Metazoa, Chordata, Mammalia, Primates, Hominidae. The record is from RefSeq and is a predicted model, not a curated record.
CUGCUCACAUCAUGAGUACGAAUUUGUCUGUGAAUACCUGAAUACUCCCAGAGACAAAGAUGGAGUCUCACUUUGUCACCCAGGCUGGAAUGCAGUGGCGAGAUCUCGGCUCACCACAACCUCCGCCUCCCAGGUUCAAGCGAUUCUCCUGCCUCAGCCUCCCAAGUAGCUGGGAUUACAGAGCAUGAGAUGAUGCCUCAACUGAUCACCAACUCUGCAGAGGCAGUCACUGAUACUAUCAUUUUCAUCUCCUAAUUGGAUUCCUAGGCAAAAGUGGACAUAUUCAACCUACAAUUAAAGAUGCUUAUAUUUUACA